Molecule: ribosomal RNA, 460 nt
Filed under: uncultured bacterium
Lineage: Bacteria
Description: partial 16S ribosomal RNA
Rfam family: Bacterial small subunit ribosomal RNA
Source: RNAcentral
CCUACGGGUGGCAGCAGUGAGGAAUAUUGGUCAAUGGACGAGAGUCUGAACCAGCCAAGUAGCGUGAAGGAUGACUGCCCUAUGGGUUGUAAACUUCUUUUAUAUGGGAAUAAAACAGGGUAUGCAUACCUUCUUGUAUGUACCAUAUGAAUAAGGAUCGGCUAACUCCGUGCCAGCAGCCGCGGUAAUACGGAGGAUCCGAGCGUUAUCCGGAUUUAUUUGGGUUAAAGGGAGCGUAGAUGGCUUGUUAAGUCAGUUGUGAAAGUUUGCGGCUCAACCGUAAAAUUGCAGUUGAUACUGGCAGUCUUGAGUACAGUAGAGGUAGGCGGAAUUCGUGGUGUAGCGGUGAAAUGCUUAGAUAUCACGAAGAACUCCGAUUGCGAAGGCAGUUCACUGGACUGCAACUGACACUGAGGCUCGAAAGUGUGGGUAUCAAACAGGAUUAGAUACCCUUGUAGUC